RNAcentral lists this ribosomal RNA (472 nucleotides) under uncultured bacterium. Its description in RNAcentral is "partial 16S ribosomal RNA". It matches the Rfam family "Bacterial small subunit ribosomal RNA", at positions 28 to 507 of the family's 1533-position model. The record is from RNAcentral.
GACGAACGCUGGCGGCGUGCUUAGCACAUGCAAGUCGAACGAUGAACCCGGAGCUUGCUCUGGGGGAUUAGUGGCGAACGGGUGAGUAACACGUGAGUAACCUGCCCUGGACUCUGGGAUAAGCGUUGGAAACGACGUCUAAUACCGGAUAGGACCUUGGAUCGCAUGAUCUGGGGUGGAAAGUUUUUUCGGUCUGGGAUGGACUCGCGGCCUAUCAGCUUGUUGGUGAGGUAAUGGCUCACCAAGGCGUCGACGGGUAGCCGGCCUGAGAGGGUGACCGGCCACACUGGGACUGAGACACGGCCCAGACUCCUACGGGAGGCAGCAGUGGGGAAUAUUGCACAAUGGGCGAAAGCCUGAUGCAGCAACGCCGCGUGCGGGAUGACGGCCUUCGGGUUGUAAACCGCUUUUAGUAGGGAAGAAGGGCUUCGGCUUGACGGUACCUGCAGAAAAAGGACCGGCUAACUACGUG